Non-coding RNA from Nylanderia fulva, 486 nucleotides. The record is from RefSeq and is a predicted model, not a curated record. NCBI's taxonomy places the organism in Eukaryota, Metazoa, Arthropoda, Insecta, Hymenoptera, Formicidae.
UGUUAUUUAAUGUAAUCAAAUUGUUUAAAAAUUAAACAUUUUAUGGUUUCUUUCCAUAAUUCGAUUACACUGUUUUAAAGAACAUUAAAAACUACAAAACUUUUAUUUGAAACAUUUUUUUAUAUCUUAUAUCCGCUCCGACGAUAUUAGCUCAGAAAUAAAAAAAAACCGAUUAUUUCAAGAGAGUAUUUUACCCCCUAAACGUCGAGAUACGCCGCUAAAAAAAUACGGGUCUAAUAUUUUUCAAUGCUCUACAACAUAUUCAAGGUUCAUUAAACCGUUAAUAACAUUAAAAUUAUUUCAAAGUAUUUACACACGCACACGGACACACACACUUAUGUAUUCAAUCACAACAAAUAAAACAUUACUUUGGAGUUUUGGAAAUAAUUGUUGCUUCUAUUUUAUGAUAUUGAUUGGAUGUUUCAUUGUGAGCAACUGUCAUAUUUAAUAUAUCGAUUUAAUAAAGAGAUUUAAUAAAAAAUGAAA